GGCCUAAACAUGCAAGUCGAGCGGCAGCGGGAAGCAUUGCUUGCUAUCUUUGCCGGCGAGCGGCGGAUGGGUGAGUAAUGCCUACGGAUCUGCCCAGUCGAGGGGGAUAACAGUUGGAAACGACUGCUAAUACCGCAUACGCCCUACGGGGGAAAGGAGGGGACCUUCGGCCCUUCCGCGAUUGGAUGAACCUAUGUGGGAUUAGCUAGUUGGUGAGGUAAUGGCUCACCAAGGCGACGAUCCCUAGCUGUUCUGAGAGGAUGAUCAGCCACACUGGCACUGACACACCGCCCACACUCCUACGGGAGGCAGCAGUGGGGAAUAUUGCACAAUGGGGGAAACCCUGAUGCAGCCUUGCCGCGUGUGUGAAUAAGGUCUUCAGGUUGUAAAGCACUUUCAGUAGGGAGGAAAGGUAAUAUCUUAAUACGUUUUUGCUGUGACGUUACCUACAGCAGAAUGACCCGCUAACUUCGUUCCAGCAGCCGCGGUAGUAAAGAGGGUCCCAGCUUGAAUCUGGAUUAACGGGCGUCAACCGCGCG
This 539-nucleotide ribosomal RNA is filed under the name Shewanella putrefaciens. RNAcentral's name for it is "bacterial SSU rRNA". It matches the Rfam family "Bacterial small subunit ribosomal RNA", at positions 45 to 571 of the family's 1533-position model. Lineage: Bacteria; Pseudomonadati; Pseudomonadota; Gammaproteobacteria; Alteromonadales; Shewanellaceae. The record is from RNAcentral.